RNAcentral lists this ribosomal RNA (465 nucleotides) under uncultured bacterium. RNAcentral describes it as "partial 16S ribosomal RNA". It matches the Rfam family "Bacterial small subunit ribosomal RNA", at positions 28 to 507 of the family's 1533-position model. The record is from RNAcentral.
GACGAACGCUGGCGGCGUGCUUAACACAUGCAAGUCGAACGGAAAGGCCCCUUUGGGGGUACUCGAGUGGCGGACGGGUGAGUAACACGUGAGUAACCUGCCCUUGACUUCGGGAUAACUUCAGGAAACUGGGGCUAAUACCGGAUAGGAAUCCUUGCUGCAUGGUGGGGGUUGGAAAGCUUCGGCGGUUUUGGAUGGACUCGCGGCUUAUCAGCUUGUUGGUGGGGUAGUGGCUUACCAAGGCUUUGACGGGUAGCCGGCCUGAGAGGGCGACCGGCCACAUUGGGACUGAGAUACGGCCCAGACUCCUACGGGAGGCAGCAGUGGGGAAUAUUGCACAAUGGGCGGAAGCCUGAUGCAGCAACGCCGCGUGCGGGAUGACGGCCUUCGGGUUGUAAACCGCUUUCAGCAGGGGCGAAGCUUGUGGUGACGGUACCUGCAGAAGAAGCACCGGCUAACUACGUG